RNAcentral lists this microRNA precursor (81 nucleotides) under Human immunodeficiency virus 1. Its description in RNAcentral is "microRNA hiv1-mir-H1 precursor". Its record names the gene hiv1-mir-H1. Lineage: Riboviria; Pararnavirae; Artverviricota; Revtraviricetes; Ortervirales; Retroviridae. The record is from miRBase by way of RNAcentral.
UCCAGGGAGGCGUGCCUGGGCGGGACUGGGGAGUGGCGCCCUCAGAUCCUGCAUAUAAGCAGCGCUUUUUUCGGUGCGUUA